GCGUUCGUUGUGUAGCGGUCAGUGCGCUCGACGCGUAAUUGAGAGGUCCGUGGUUCGAUUCCCGGCGAAGGCG
Molecule: transfer RNA, 73 nt
Filed under: Stegodyphus mimosarum
Lineage: Eukaryota; Metazoa; Arthropoda; Arachnida; Araneae; Eresidae
Rfam family: tRNA
About the family: Transfer RNA (tRNA) molecules are approximately 80 nucleotides in length.
Source: Rfam by way of RNAcentral